UGGCAGGGCGGCAGCUACACAUGCAGUCGAACGGCAGCACAGGAGAGCUUGCUCUCUGGGUGGCGAGUGGCGGACGGGUGAGGAAUACAUCGGAAUCUACCUUUUCGUGGGGGAUAACGUAGGGAAACUUACGCUAAUACCGCAUACGACCGAAGGGUGAAAAAUUGCCGGAGGACCCUCCGGCCUCGCGCCGAGAGAAGAGCCGAGACCGAAUAGCUAAGUGACGGGGUAAAGGACCACCAAGGCGACGAUCCGGUAGCUGAUCCGAGAGGGAAUGAUCAGCCACACUGGAACUGAGAACACGGUCCAAACCACAACGGGAGCAAGCAGUUGGGGAAUAUUGGACAAUAGGCGCAAGCCUGAUCCAGCCAUGCCGCGAGGGUGAAGAAGGCCUUCGAGAUGUAAAGCCCUUUUGAUGGGAAAGAAAAGCAGUCGGUUAAAACCCAAUGGUUCUGACGGUACCCAAAGAAUAAGCACCGGCUAACUUCGUGCCAGCAGCCGCGGGUAAAUACGAAGGGGGCAAAAGCCAUUACCUCGGAAUUACUGGGCGUAAAGCGUGCGUAGGUGGUUGGUUUUAAGUCCGUUAGUGAAAGCCCUGGGCCUCCAACCUGGGAAAUUGCCAGUGGAUACCUGGGCAACUAGAGUUGUGGUAAAAGGAUGGCGGAAUUCCCCCGGGGGUAGCAGUGAAAUGCCGUAGAGAUCCGGGAGGAACAUCUGUGGCGAAGGCGGCCCAUAUCGGAACCAACACUGACACUGAAGCACCAAAAAGCGGGGAAAAAACAAGAUUAGAUACCCUGGUAGUCAACGCCCCAAACGAUGCGAACUGGAUGUUGGGGCAACUUGGCACGCAAUACCGAACCUAACGCGUUAAGUUCGCCGCCCGGGGAAUACGCUCGCAACACUGAAACCCAAAAGAACCGACGGGGGCCCGCACAAGCGGUGGAGUAGAAGAUGAAAUCCAUGCAACGCGAAAAACACUACCUGACCUCCAGAAAUCCACGGAACUGCCAGAGAUGGAACGAGACUAAGUCACUCCGGGAACCGUAAGACAAACACAGCAGGCCGACGCAACUCAGUAGUGAGAUGUUGGGUUAAGUCCCGCAACGAGCGCAACCCUUGUCCUUAGUUGCCAGCACGUAAUGGUGGGAACUCUAAGGAGACCGCCGGUGACAAACCGGAGGAAGGUGGGGAUGACGUCAAGUCAUCAUGGCCCUUACGACCAGGGCUACACACGUACUACAAUGGUAGGGACAGAGGGCUGCAAGCCGGCGACGGUAAGCCAAUCCCAGAAACCCUAUCUCAGUCCGGAUUGGAGUCUGCAACUCGACUCCAUGAAGUCGGAAUCGCUAGUAAUCGCAGAUCAGCAUUGCUGCGGUGAAUACGUUCCCGGGCCUUGUACACACCGCCCGUCACACCAUGGGAGUUUGUUGCACCAGAAGCAGGUAGCUUAACCUUCGGGAGGGCGCUGCCACGAGACUCAUUUCC
RNAcentral lists this ribosomal RNA (1485 nucleotides) under Xanthomonas sp. Its description in RNAcentral is "bacterial SSU rRNA". It matches the Rfam family "Bacterial small subunit ribosomal RNA". Lineage: Bacteria; Pseudomonadati; Pseudomonadota; Gammaproteobacteria; Lysobacterales; Lysobacteraceae. The record is from RNAcentral.